UUAAGUUCAGCGGGUAUCCCUACCUGAUCCGAGGUCAACCUUGAUUGAAAUUUUAACGGGCACGGGGCCACCCCUCUCGCCAGCGAAUUUGAUGCCACAACGCUGAGAUACGGGUCGUCCAGCCGGUGAAAUUAAGGCGCGGGAGAGCCCCGCCGCCCAAUACCAAGCCGGGCUUGAGUGGUGUAAUGACGCUCGAACAG
This 200-nucleotide unclassified non-coding RNA is filed under the name Capnodiales sp. RNAcentral describes it as "partial internal transcribed spacer 2". The record is from RNAcentral. Lineage: Eukaryota; Fungi; Ascomycota; Dothideomycetes; Capnodiales.